AAAUUGAAGAGUUUGAUCAUGGCUCAGAUUGAACGCUGGCGGCAGGCCUAACACAUGCAAGUCGAACGGUAACAGGAAGCAGCUUGCUGCUUCGCUGACGAGUGGCGGACGGGUGAGUAAUGUCUGGGAAACUGCCUGAUGGAGGGGGAUAACUACUGGAAACGGUAGCUAAUACCGCAUAACGUCGCAAGACCAAAGAGGGGGACCUUCGGCCUCUUGCCAUCGGAUGUGCCCAGAUGGGAUUAGCUAGUAGGUGGGGUAACGGCUCACCUAGGCGACGAUCCCUAGCUGGUCUGAGAGGAUGACCAGCCACACUGGAACUGAGACACGGUCCAGACUCCUACGGGAGGCAGCAGUGGGGAAUAUUGCACAAUGGGCGCAAGCCUGAUGCAGCCAUGCCGCGUGUAUGAAGAAGGCCUUCGGGUUGUAAAGUACUUUCAGCGGGGAGGAAGGGAGUAAAGUUAAUACCUUUACUCAUUGACGUUACCCGCAGAAGAAGCACCGGCUAACUCCGUGCCAGCAGCCGCGGUAAUACGGAGGGUGCAAGCGUUAAUCGGAAUUACUGGGCGUAAAGCGCACGCAGGCGGUUUGUUAAGUCAGAUGUGAAAUCCCCGGGCUCAACCUGGGAACUGCAUCUGAUACUGGCAAGCUUGAGUCUCGUAGA
Molecule: ribosomal RNA, 664 nt
Filed under: Escherichia coli O180:H14
Lineage: Bacteria; Pseudomonadati; Pseudomonadota; Gammaproteobacteria; Enterobacterales; Enterobacteriaceae
Description: bacterial SSU rRNA
Rfam family: Bacterial small subunit ribosomal RNA
Source: RNAcentral